RNAcentral lists this ribosomal RNA (507 nucleotides) under uncultured bacterium. Its description in RNAcentral is "bacterial SSU rRNA". It matches the Rfam family "Bacterial small subunit ribosomal RNA", at positions 17 to 518 of the family's 1533-position model. The record is from RNAcentral.
UCCUGGCUCAGGAUGAACGCUAGCGGCAGGCUUAACACAUGCAAGUCGAGGGGCAUCGGGAGUAGCAAUACUUGCCGGCGACCGGCGCAAGGGUGCGUAACGCGUGAGCAACAUGCCCGUAUCAGGGGGAUAAUCCAUGGAAACGUGGUCUAAUACCCCAUAGUAAUUAUGUAAGGCAUCUUAUAUAAUUUAAAGCUUUGGUGGAUACGGAUUGGCUCGCGUGACAUUAGCUGGAUGGUAAGGUAACGGCUUACCAUGGCUACGAUGUCUAGGGGUUCUGAGAGGAAGGUCCCCCACACUGGAACUGAGACACGGUCCAGACUCCUACGGGAGGCAGCAGUGAGGAAUAUUGGACAAUGGAUGGAAAUCUGAUCCAGCCAUGCCGCGUGCCAGGAAGACGGCCCUAUGGGUUGUAAACUGCUUUUGUAUGGGAGCAAUAAGGGCUACGUGUAGUCCGAUGAGAGUACCAUACGAAUAAGCACCGGCUAACUCCGUGCCAGCCGCCGC